This 388-nucleotide ribosomal RNA is filed under the name uncultured bacterium. RNAcentral's name for it is "bacterial SSU rRNA". It matches the Rfam family "Bacterial small subunit ribosomal RNA", at positions 28 to 417 of the family's 1533-position model. The record is from RNAcentral.
GACGAACGCUGGCGGCGUGCUUAACACAUGCAAGUCGAGCGGUAAGGCCCUUUCGGGGGUACACGAGCGGCGAACGGGUGAGUAACACGUGGGUGACCUGCCCUCAGCUCUGGGAUAAGCCUGGGAAACCGGGUUUAAUACCGGAUAUGACUCCAUGACGCAUGUUGUGGGGUGGAAAGCCUUGUGCGGCUGAGGAUGGGCCCGCGGCCUAUCAGCUUGUUGGGUGGGGUGAUGGCCACCAAGGCGACGACGGGUAGCCGGCCUGAGAGGGCGACCGGCCACACUGGGACUGAGACACGGCCCAGACUCCUACGGGAGGCAGCAGUGGGGAAUCUUGCGCAAUGGGCGAAAGCCUGACGCAGCGACGCCGCGUGAGGGAUGACGGCCU